AUUGAACGCUGGCGACAUGCCUUACACAUGCAAGUCGAACGGCAGCACGGGUGCUUGCACCUGGUGGCGAGUGGCGAACGGGUGAGUAAUACAUCGGAACUUGUCCUGUAGUGGGGGAUAGCCCGGCGAAAGCCGGAUUAAUACCGCAUACGAUCUACGGAUGAAAGCGGGGGACCUUCGGGCCUCGCGCUAUAGGGUUGGCCGAUGGCUGAUUAGCUAGUUGGUGGGGUAAAGGCCUACCAAGGCGACGAUCAGUAGCUGGUCUGAGAGGACGACCAGCCACACUGGGACUGAGACACGGCCCAGACUCCUACGGGAGGCAGCAGUGGGGAAUUUUGGACAAUGGGCGAAAGCCUGAUCCAGCAAUGCCGCGUGUGUGAAGAAGGCCUUCGGGUUGUAAAGCACUUUUGUCCGGAAAGAAAUCCUUGGCCCUAAUACGGUCGGGGGAUGACGGUACCGGAAGAAUAAGCACCGGCUAACUACGUG
RNAcentral lists this ribosomal RNA (486 nucleotides) under uncultured bacterium. RNAcentral's name for it is "partial 16S ribosomal RNA". It matches the Rfam family "Bacterial small subunit ribosomal RNA", at positions 30 to 507 of the family's 1533-position model. The record is from RNAcentral.